CGUAGGGGCAAGCGUUGUCCGGAUUUAUUGGGCGUAAAGCGCUCGCAGGUGGUUCGAUGCGUCGUGCGUGAAAGCCCCCGGCUCAACGUGGGGAGUGUCGUGCGAUACGGUCGGACUGGAGGCCAGUAGGGGGACGCGGAAUUCCGGGUGUAGUGGUGGAAUGCGUAGAGAUCCGGAGGAACACCAGCGGCGAAGGCGGCAUCCUGGACUGGUCCUGACACUCAGGAGCGAAAGCGUGGGGAGCGAUCCGGAUUAGAUACCCGGGUAGUCCACGCUGUAAACGAUGAGAACUAGGUGUCGGGGGUAUCGACCCCCUCGGUGCCGAAGCCAACGCGAUAAGUUCUCCGCCUGGGGACUACGGCCGCAAGGCUA
This 372-nucleotide ribosomal RNA is filed under the name uncultured organism. RNAcentral's name for it is "bacterial SSU rRNA". It matches the Rfam family "Bacterial small subunit ribosomal RNA", at positions 526 to 896 of the family's 1533-position model. The record is from RNAcentral.